Dufourea novaeangliae is the source of this 1029-nucleotide long non-coding RNA. RefSeq lists it as uncharacterized. Lineage: Eukaryota; Metazoa; Arthropoda; Insecta; Hymenoptera; Halictidae. The record is from RefSeq and is a predicted model, not a curated record. The transcript is spliced from 4 exons.
AUAUCAAAUUUUCGUACAAUUCGAAUAUCGAGUGCGUCGAGCCGAAAUCACGCGUGGGGUAUUGUCGGACGUUUGUGAAAAUUAGAAGUGGGGGUUAGGUUGGCGGGGCAUGUUGUUGCAGUGGCGAAGUAUCGGGAGUUGAAUUUGUGCGGAGGAAUAGGAAGUGAAGGAUCGUUCGUGACGCGAUCAUCUUUCGUGACAUUGUAUCGGAUGACUAAGAACUAACGUGGACACAUGAAGAUAAAUCGACGCGGGUGUGAAUGAUCGACGAUACACGCGAGUGCUUAAACGACUUUGUGGUGGGAGCAGAGAAAGAGGACGCCUGAAAAAAACAUAUUUCCAACUGGCUGGAUCACAGGGUGGCAGACUAAUUAGAGGUGUAAUUUCGAUUUUGCUGCCGAGUCGACAAGAAUCCUGUGUUGGGGCACCGGGGAUCCCUGACCGCACGAGAAAACGGCGGCCAUUUCGCUCGAUCGCCGGAGGAUUAUCCUGUCCUGUCAUCCAUCGGGGAUCCGAUUUUAAUGAAAGCUUUUCCUGACCACGUCGAUCGUUCUCCCGUGGCGGUCCCGAUUGACAUCGACACGAUCACGCCUCUGUCGAAAUAAUGCGAGCGAAGCGCAUCGAGGAGGAGACGCGCUUCCGACUGCUGAGGUACACGCACCGCGCCAAGUGUCGCAAGAUUAUUUAGUCGGGCGUCGAGCGAACGGCCGACACCGUGACGAGACUGACGGGAGGAAGAGAGAGACUGACAAUCCCGCGACUACACAACCCUGGCUGUGAUCCCAUAACCCCAAUCGAUCGCUCGAACCCGGAGACGCACAUCACCGUUCGAAGAAGACAUCAUUCUUGGUCGUCGUUCCGAUAGAUCGCGUGUGUGCAUCGAAACGAUCGUGGUCGUGAUUUGUUAAACAUAGUUCGAGUGUUAAUUACAAAAAUCGAACGUUUUCGAUAACGUGGGACAAGAUUUCGGGGGGCAUCUACUAAUAUAUUUCGUAUGUCUACCGAAACCUUAAGUGGAUCAACUGAAAC